RNAcentral lists this long non-coding RNA (1083 nucleotides) under Sinocyclocheilus grahami. Its description in RNAcentral is "lncRNA (ENSSGRG00000019015.1)". Lineage: Eukaryota; Metazoa; Chordata; Actinopteri; Cypriniformes; Cyprinidae. The record is from RNAcentral.
GUGCAGAUCAAAGUCCAGUUCGCAGCCUUCACCAGCUGUAAUUCAUACAGUGGGUCCUCACUCAGUCACUUUCUCUACAUGUGGUGUGCAGCUGAAAGACUGUUGCAUUCCGCUGCUUCUUGACACGGGAGCUAAAGUGUCAUUGCUUAAUAUGGCCACCUACAAGAAAUUUUUCUCUGAUGUUGAGUUACAACCAUCACCUCUGAAGCUCUGUGGUUAUGGCCAAGCUAGCAUUGCAGUGACUGGAGAAGUUAAACUGCCAGUACAAUAUGGGCAUAUACGUCUACCAGAGUUUCCAUUUUACAUAACUCCACAUGGCGCUAACAUCCUGGGUCUUGACCUGUUCCUUAGCCUUGACUUUUCUCUGCAUGACAACAGUGGUGCAACCAUCCUUCAGGUGGACUCUCCAUGGCAGACACAGUUUCCCACUCUAUUCAGUGGUUUAGGCUGCUUCUCUGUUUUUUCCCACAAACCCCUGCUUAACCCAGAUAUACCGCCUGUAAUCCAGCCGCUGCGACGAGUGCCUCUCGCCAUGCGCGACAAGGUCACCACUGAACUACAGGGCAUGCUAGCUGCAGACCUCAUUGAGCCCAUUGAUGCUUCCCCUUGGGUCUCAAAUCUUGUGGUUGUGCAAAAACGGUCUGGGGGCAUACGUCUCUGCGUUGACCUUCGGGGGCCUAACAAGGCUGUGGUGCCAGACAAAUACCCAUUGUCGACAAUUGAGGAACUCACGACAGUCUUCUAUGGCUCCUCAGUGUUCACAAAGCUGGAUCUUAAGCAAGGUUACAUGCAGAUACCCCUACACGAGGACAGCAGGAACCUGACUGCAUUCGUGACUCACAUGGGUUUGUUCCGUUUUAAGAGGAUUCCUUUUGGCCUAAGUUCAGCACCUAGUUGCUUUCAGAAAAUCAUGGCCACUGUCCUAGCAGGGCUCCCAGGUACGGCUGUGUACUUAGAUGAUAUUGUAGUACAUGGAAAGGACGUGGCCACUCAUGACGAAUGCCUCAGACGGGUGUUCACGGCUCUGUCUAGACACAAUCUGACAUUAAACACAGAAAAAUGCGUGUUUGCUGUCCCAGCAAU